This 403-nucleotide ribosomal RNA is filed under the name uncultured Eubacteriales bacterium. RNAcentral's name for it is "bacterial SSU rRNA". It matches the Rfam family "Bacterial small subunit ribosomal RNA", at positions 355 to 774 of the family's 1533-position model. The record is from RNAcentral. Lineage: Bacteria; Bacillati; Bacillota; Clostridia; Eubacteriales.
UGGGGAAUAUUGCACAAUGGGGGAAACCCUGAUGCAGCAACGCCGCGUGGGUGAAGGAGCGUUUCGGCGCGUAAAGCCCUGUCAGCGGGGAAGAAGAAAGACGGUACCCGACCAAGAAGCCCCGGCUAACUACGUGCCAGCAGCCGCGGUAAUACGUAGGGGGCGAGCGUUAUCCGGAAUUACUGGGUGUAAAGGGAGCGUAGACGGCGAGGUAAGCCUGAAGUGGAAGCCCGCGGCCCAACCGCGGAACUGCUUUGGGAACUGUUUUGCUGGAGUAUGGGAGGGGUAAGCGGAAUUCCUGGUGUAGCGGUGAAAUGCGUAGAUAUCAGGAGGAACACCGGUGGCGAAGGCGGCUUACUGGACCAUAACUGACGUUGAGGCUCGAAAGCGUGGGGAGCGAACA